This 1121-nucleotide long non-coding RNA is filed under the name Triticum aestivum (bread wheat). Its description in RNAcentral is "long non-coding RNA (TAES_LNC019912)". The record is from RNAcentral. Lineage: Eukaryota; Viridiplantae; Streptophyta; Magnoliopsida; Poales; Poaceae.
UCAGCCUUUUGGACCAGCCUCUAGCCCAGUUACACACACACACGUACAUCCAACAUUAUUUCAUAUUCAAAUCAAGAAAACUCCAUAUCAAAUUCAAAUCAUCCAUCGCAUCACAUCAGGUUUACAUAACAAAUCAUCUCAGGAAUACAUUUCCUUACACAGGAAUAUAGAAGGAACAGAGGGAAUAUGCAAUAAGACAAUUAUGGCACAUCCUACAACUUGCCAUCCUACAACAAGAAUUAUAUAACAGGAAGAACUUGCUCUCUCUCGUGAGACUUGCUCCAGCUGCGACAACUUGCCAUCCUACAACAAGAAGUAUAUAACAAUGAACUUCAAGAACAUUACAGGAGCUAAACGCCCAAUCAACGUGAAGUGCUAAAAAAUGCCUUAGCUAGCAUGCAUUCAAAAUUUAGACACUUGACAUAGCCUCAUCAAGCAUGCAAUAAAUUAUAGAAAGUAAACGAGGACCAGACUUUACAAUUACAGACACAUCCAUCAAUCCAUGAGGCAAAAUCAUGUGAAUCCAAAAGGAGAGGCAGGAAGGGAUACCAAUUUUGAUCCAGAGGGUACAUGAGUGUGGCCUUCUUCCGGAAGAGGUUGGCCCUAACGCACCUUGUAUGAGGCGCUGGGAGCUCAUAGAUUGUCCUGGUCAAUGAGCAGGUCCUUGCAUCCGGUCAUACUGCUAGCCUGGGGAACAGGAAAAAUGAAAGGAACAAUUUAGACUUGGUAUUAACGAACAAAGACUGUAAUCAAUAGCAGAUUAAGCACCAAUUUUCUUGGAUGCAAGGAGAAGAACGAGCAAAACAACACAGAGAUGUGGGACAAUGUUGUACCUGUAGAUGAUGUUCGCAGCCAAGGAAGACAUGGGGCCAGCCUUAAAUGUGCGCGUGCUUCACCGGUGCAUGCAUCACCAUAGCAGCCAAGCAAGUAGACAUCAUCGACAUCUACUCACCGCUUUCCUGGCAAUGGAGAAAGAGUCAAACAAAAAAGUAUUAGACCAUGAUAUGACACCAGACCAUAGAUUAGUAGCUUUAAAUCACAAAGUAUAUCCACAACACCAUAAAAUAGUCCCAAACCCGUGUUAUUUGAGUAUAUCACAUGUAGUUUAUUUUCAUGAGUCC